UGGGGAAUAUUGGACAAUGGGCGCAAGCCUGAUCCAGCAAUGCCGCGUGGGUGAAGAAGGUCUUCGGAUUGUAAAGCCCUUUCGACAGGGACGAUGAUGACGGUACCUGUAGAAGAAGCCCCGGCUAACUUCGUGCCAGCAGCCGCGGUAAUACGAAGGGGGCUAGCGUUGCUCGGAAUUACUGGGCGUAAAGGGCGCGUAGGCGGCGCUGUUAGUCAGGCGUGAAAUUCCUGGGCUCAACCUGGGGACUGCGCUUGAUACGGCAGUGCUAGAAGAUGGAAGAGGCUCGCGGAAUUCCCAGUGUAGAGGUGAAAUUCGUAGAUAUUGGGAAGAACACCGGUGGCGAAGGCGGCGAGCUGGUCCAUUACUGACGCUGAGGCGCGAC
RNAcentral lists this ribosomal RNA (385 nucleotides) under uncultured bacterium. RNAcentral describes it as "bacterial SSU rRNA". It matches the Rfam family "Bacterial small subunit ribosomal RNA", at positions 355 to 757 of the family's 1533-position model. The record is from RNAcentral.